This 74-nucleotide transfer RNA is filed under the name Blochmannia endosymbiont of Polyrhachis (Hedomyrma) turneri. RNAcentral describes it as "tRNA-Arg (ACG) (tRNA-Arg-ACG-1-1)". It matches the Rfam family "tRNA". Rfam says of the family: Transfer RNA (tRNA) molecules are approximately 80 nucleotides in length. Their secondary structure includes four short double-helical elements and three loops (D, anti-codon, and T loops). Lineage: Bacteria; Pseudomonadati; Pseudomonadota; Gammaproteobacteria; Enterobacterales; Enterobacteriaceae. The record is from Rfam by way of RNAcentral.
GCACCCGUAGCUCAGUGGGAUAGAGUACUCGGCUACGAACCGAGCGGUUGGGGGUUCGAAUCCUCCCGGGUGCG